RNAcentral lists this small nuclear RNA (144 nucleotides) under Mustela putorius furo (domestic ferret). RNAcentral's name for it is "U4 spliceosomal RNA". The stretch from base 1 to 81 matches the Rfam family "U4 spliceosomal RNA". Rfam says of the family: U4 small nuclear RNA (U4 snRNA) is a component of the major U2-dependent spliceosome. Lineage: Eukaryota; Metazoa; Chordata; Mammalia; Carnivora; Mustelidae. The record is from Rfam by way of RNAcentral.
AGCUUGGUGCAGUGGCGGUAUCAUAGCUAAUGAGGUUUAUCUAAGGUGUGAUUACUGUUAAUUAAAAACUCUUCCAAUAUGAUGUACAACAGGUGCCAUGACAAACACAUUCUUUAGUACAAAAAUCAAUAGAGUAAAUGUGUU